UACGGAGGAUUCGAGCGUUAUCCGGAUUUAUUGGGUUUAAAGGGCGCGUAGGCGGAUUGGUAAGUCAGCUGUGAAAGUUUACGGCUCAACCGUGUAAUUGCAGUUGAUACUGUUGGUCUUGAGUAUGCUUGAGGUCGGCGGAAUUUGUGGUGUAGCGGUGAAAUGCUUAGAUAUCACAAAGAACUCCAAUUGCGAAGGCAGCUGACUGGGGCAUUACUGACGCUGAUGCACGAAGGUGUGGGUAUCAAACAGG
This 253-nucleotide ribosomal RNA is filed under the name uncultured bacterium. RNAcentral describes it as "partial 16S ribosomal RNA". It matches the Rfam family "Bacterial small subunit ribosomal RNA", at positions 524 to 776 of the family's 1533-position model. The record is from RNAcentral.